RNAcentral lists this long non-coding RNA (6294 nucleotides) under Brassica napus (rape). RNAcentral describes it as "long non-coding RNA (BNAP_LNC022784)". Lineage: Eukaryota; Viridiplantae; Streptophyta; Magnoliopsida; Brassicales; Brassicaceae. The record is from RNAcentral.
AUACAUGUCUUCUUCCGGCAACUCAAGCAUCCCUCUGAUCACAUUCAGUCCAAGAUUGCUAUUGAACUCUUGCUCAUCAUCAAUCACGUGAGCGAACCCUUUGUCUAUCCCAAACUCCACGUGGAAGUAAGGAAAAUUCUUAGGUAUCGAGUUCCUAAGACCUUUCACGCUAGUGUCGAUGAGCUUCUUCGCGUUGUGCUGACUCCACUCGCUCUCCUUCUCUGAAAGUCUUCUAACUCCCGCUAAAAAUAUUGAAAUCUUCUGGGUGACUUACAAGUAAGUCGUCUAGUAAGUCUUCUGAUCGAAAAUAUUUAAACUUAUUGGAAUUUUUGUCUCCAUGUAUAAAGAAAAAUUUACACAUUAUUUCUCCUCCUCUCAAAUGGCUGCAGCAAAAAUAGUAUGUUCCUCAUUCUAAAACUCUCCAACCUCUCUCUAAUCUCUUUGAACUUAUAAACACCAAACUUUAUUGUUUUUGUCUCAUGUCUUUCUCACUAGUUUAUCUUGUUUUGCAGGUUUUUCAUCACAUGGUUCUCAUCUUCCACUCAUUUAAAGGUAGGUUUACUAAUUUUAGAUAUGUAUUUUUGUGUGUUCUAUAAAGGUAGAUCUUUCUAAUCUUCCACUCAUUUUCUCUGUUUUUAAGCCAUUUGAACGUUUUUGGAGAUGCAUGUUUUUUCAGAUCUAGAUUUGGAUAUGCAGGUUUUUCAGAUCUGGAAGACUUCUGAGCUAGAAGACUUCCAGACGACUUCCAGGAAGUCUUCCAGACGACUUCCAGGAAGUCUUCUGACGGAGUCUUCUCCCAUGUCUCCCUUUCAUAAUAGAUCUGAGCGUUUUGGUAAGUUUUUAUGUCUGAUUUUUCUUCAUUUGGUAACCUCUUGUUGCAUAAAGUUCAUACAUUUUCCCAAACUAAAACUCUCCAAACCCACUCUAAUCUCUUUGACUUGAAAACACUAAACUUUAUAUGAAUUUUUCAUUUUUGUCUCAUGUAUUUCUCAAUAAUCUAUCUUUUUGUUGCAUAUUUUUAACUAGAUGGUUCUCAUCUUCCACUUGGAUAUGUACUUUGUAUGUUCUAUAAAAGUAUGUCUAUCUAAUUUUCUACUUAUUUUUUCUGUUUUUAAGCCAUUUGAACGUUUUUUGAUAUGAUAUGCAGGUUUUUCAGAUCUGAGUAUGAUAUACAUGUUUUUCAGAUCUGGAUCAGACUUUGGAAGACCUAUGGGAAGUCUUCUCGGAAGUCUUCUAAAAUAUAAUGUGCUAGAAGACUUCCUUUCCAGACGACUUCAAAGAAGUCAUCUGGACGACUUCCAGGAAGUCUUUUGACGGGGUCUUCUUCCAUAUCAAGUGGAGUCUAAGCUUGUCUUUGUAGAGGAAUGAUCUAUAAUAGUUUUGUUUGUGGUAUGUUUUGUGAUUUGCAUGUGUACUCCUUUAGUUGCGACUUUUUUUGUAAAUUUGUUAAGUAACUUUAAGAUAUGUUUAUUUAAUUUUUAAAAGUGUUAAGUAACUUCAAGAAUAUCAACUAACAUGGUUUAAUGUGUCUUCUCAGAUCAUAAGAUAUACUUUUUACUUAUGUAUGUAGAAGUCUUCUCAAUUAGUUAGAAACUUUACUAAUCAUGAAUGUUGGUAACCUCGUAAAUAUCACCAAUUCAGUUAUAAUUUUCAUUCAGUAGCCUCAAUAUUGACUAAUAUACAUGAAUUAACAAAAACAAAUUAAAAAAAAUCUUUAUAGUUUUAGAGAAAAAAAAAGUUUAUUAAACAAUGACGCAGACGACUUCCAUGGAGGUCGUCUGGUAGACUUCUAGAAAAUCGUCCAUUUAGGUUAGUUUUGCAAUUGAUUUUUAACCUAGACGACUUACAUGGAAGUCGUCCAUCUUUGUUUGUUAAAAAAAACUCGAGACGACUUACGGUUAGUUUUGCAUUUGACCGGAUUGUGUCAGAAAUUUGACUUUUCCUGGACGACUUAUACGUAAGUCGUCCAAUAGAAAAUUUAAAAAACAAUAUUUUGUUAUACCUAGACGACUUACAUAGAAGUUGUCUCCGGUUAGUUUUGCAAUUGAAAAAUAAAACAAAAAAAAUUAUUUUUUUCUAGACGACUUACACGGAAGUCCGACGACUUACAUGGAAGUUGUCCAAGAUAAGCAAGGUUUGACCAGAAUCUCGGAAUAAAAUCAUGGACGACUUCAAUGUAAGUCAUCGGAUGGACGACUUCCGUGUAAGUCACGGAAGUCGUCUAGAAAAAAAUAAUUUUUUUUGUUUUAUUUUUCAAUUGCAAAACUAACCUGAGACGACUUCCAUGUUAGUCGUCUAGGUAUAACAAAAUAUUGAUUUUUUUAAUUUUCUACUGGACGACUUCCACGUAAGUCGUCCAGGAAAAGUCAAAUUUCUGACACAGUUCGGUCAAAUGUAAAACUAACAUGUUUACCCUAGACGACUUACAUGGAAGUCGUCUCGGAUUUUUUUUUUAACAAACAAAGAUGGACGACUUCCAUGUAAGUCGUCUAUAAAAACACAUUUAAAAGUCAAUUGCAAAACUAACCUCUGCAUUGACCAGAAGAUUUCCAUGUAAGUCGUCUACAGGUAAGUCGUCUGGACGAACAGAUGUGGGAAAAAAAACUGAUUUCAUAGUUUCAACCAGUGAGAUAAAUUGUUUAGCACACAUAAGUCUUCUCCAAGCACCCAGAAUCUCAAACAUAAGUGACCCACUAAGAAUCGUAAGCUUCAAUGGCUCUAUGAACCAUAAAAAAAUUAGAAUCAAAAUCUUGGGUUUUUUGGAUGAAUAUGGAGAGAAAGUGAAAGAGAUGUUGUUUUUAGUUCAUAAGAAUUAAGAAAAAAAGAGUGUAAAUCGAUUUUUAGGUACAUUAAGAGCUUCAAAUUGGUUGUUCAUAGUGGUUGGUGUAUUGAUGGCAAUGACAAUAUUGUGAAUACUUGAGGAAGAUGAGGGUGAUAGAGUAAAAUAUGCAUUUUCAAAAAAAAAAAAAUGAUGGCAUUUUCGUGAAUAAUCUGAACUUUGGGGAUGAAAGAGACAAGUCAAAGUUCCAAAAAAAACAUGGAUUAGUUUUGUGUUUGACUUCAAGUUUUGAGUCUUAUUUGCAAAAACCUUUCUAUUUAAUAACCACAAGACCUUAAAGUAUAGACAAAAACAGAGCUCAAACAAAACCUGGCAUGGCUUUGGAAUGUCUCUAGACAAAGACAACCUACGUCUUAAAAAAUGUCCCACAGCUUAUAAAAGUCUAUCGAGAAAGACUAUGUAUCAGUUUAGACUUGUUGGAUGGUAAAAACAACUAAAUAUUUGCUGUAUAGAAAAAAGACCAACGGCUCAGAUAAAUCAACUGCUUCAAGAUUCUUGACAAAGAUUAUGAAUCAAACAAAGAUUCAUAUCUCCACACGGCUUAGAAGUAUCUUGAGAAAGAAUAUAGAUGGAAAAAUAACCCACGGCUAAAAUGAAAUAUAUAUCUAUGGAUGGAAAACCGAUUUUUUACUCUGCAACACGGCUUUAAAUAGAAAUUUUCAACACAUAAACUAUGAACCACAAGGAUCAAAGAACUGUUUCUGCUUGACAACCAUCACAAGGUUUAAAAGUAUACAAAGACUAUAAGUUAGAUGGAAAUAAUGACCAACUCUAAAGACAAAGGCGAUGGAAGAAUGGCGAACUCAUAUUCUGAAAUCAGUCUUAAACAGAGACUACCAAUGGCUUAAAGAAUCAUAACGCAAAGAUUAUUUACAAAAAAAUGAAUCUAAAAAUGGGAAAAGACGACCAAUAGCUUAAAGAUGUCUUAAGAAAAAGACUCUGAAAAAGUCCUUAGAUGGGGAAAAAUAGUAGCAAUGGCUUAAGGCUUGUUUCAUGGGGAAAAAUAACACAAGCAAUGGCUUAAAAGUCUUAAGGCAAAAACUAUGAAUUGAUUAUAGAUUCUUUACUUGGUUUUGCCCACGGCUUAAGUCCUUGAUGGAAAAGGUACAAACGUCACAAAAAAAAGUCUCUAGACAAAAACAAUAUGGGUUUGGUUUUUAGACAUGCUGGAUGGAAAGAAUGAGAAGCUACUUUUUUUUAAAAGUCACCAGAUGGAAAAACUAUCUGAAAUCAUUUGUGCUGGAUAAAGAAAAAACGAUGUUAAGACAGACUAUGAUUCGGUUUAUAUUUUGGUGGGUGGAAAGAGAUGACCAAUGUCUGAAAUAAUUACACAGAAAAAAUAAGUUAUUAUAGAAAGACUAUGAAUCGGUUUUAGAUUUGUAGCCUUUGUCACCACGGAUUACGGUCUUAUGACAAAGAGUAUAAAUGAUUCGUUGGAUGGCUAAUACGACCAACAAUUUCAAGGACUACGAAUCAAAAAUGGAUUGUUUACAAAUACAUGGCGAAGUAAAGAUCUUUUUUUUGUCAGGUAUGUGCUUCAGAAGGUGUUCAAAACCAAAUUGUUAGAGAUUUUGAGGAGAUUUCAAGUGUAGCAGACUUCUGUGAAAGGUAAGUGCUUUUCAAACUUGCUUGUAAUUAGUUUCUGAAAUUCACAAGUAGGAGAAACAUAUGCGAAAUCAAGAUUUUCAUUUCCACAAGACAGACAGAUUCAAGGUAUGUCCUUGGUGAUUAUUCCAAAAUUUUGCAAUGACAUCCUCACAAUCUAAUUGGUUGUUAUUUGUAAUUUUAGAAUUAUGCAUCAAGAUUCUUACAUUUAUGAUUAUUAUGUAUUUUUUUUUCUUUAAAAUGUGUAUCAAUUGACUUAACUUUUAUAAUAUAGCUUGGAGAUAUUUCAGUUAAAGUAUUAGACUAGUGUCUCUCACUUUCUCUUAACAUAGUUUGAUUGAAACUUGGUUUCUUUGUCAAAACAGAGUUCAUGGUCUUUUCUACUUCAAUGUCUCUACUCACGUUUUUAGAUCAACAGUGCAAAAACUCAUAGGAAAGUGAUGAAAUUUCUAUACAAAAACGGAAGUAUUGUUGUCUUUAGAUGUGAUGAUUAAGUUUUUGGUUACCUUUCUAACUGAGGCUGAAGUUCGAUGCAAUCUUCUUGUGUGUCGGUUUCCAUGUCAGCCUCCACGUUUCCUUCCUUUUUGUGGUGCCUUGUAAACAGUUUCCUAAGACUUGAGUUUUAUUAAGGUGUUGUUGACUUGACUCCCAUGAUCUCUCCCACUUAAAAAUGAGCUAUAUAUUUUUUCUAAUACUUAUUUUUAAAUGUAUCUAUUAGUGAAUGAAUAUUAAAAUUAAUUAUUGUACAUUAUUUUAUCACAUAAAUUAUGCUAGCAACAUAAAAUAUUCUAAAGAAUGUCAAAGAUCUUUACUGGCUUUUGCUUCUCCUGAUACUCCUUUAGGAAUUAGGAGUAGCCGACGACACAUCUAGCACUCUUGUUGUUGCAUCAAAUGUAGCUUCAUUUACUUACAACUUCUCCAGUACAAGCAGCACCAACAACUCCUUUUGUCACUACAACUGAACUCACUACUACCAGUACUGUGUCUCUAAACACCGAAACUCCUCGUCUUUGGAUCCUCUACUAAUUUGAUAACAUUCUCUGCUCCUAUAUCAAAUUCAUUCACCAAUGAACAUAAUAAAUAUUUGACGACUUGAGUGCAUCUGAGGCGAUUCCUCGUUAGGCAACUACUGUAUAUGGUUCUAAGAUCCUACUGCUAACGCUAAAACACUUGAAUGCCAUAACGAUAUUUGAACUGCAAGGGGAUCUCUAGCCACUUCUCCUAACUUCAUUUUGUGCACUUUCCACCCAAAAAGAAAACGUCAGAACUCAUCCAAUCUAAACUUCGGACUCUAAACCGAUUCUUUCAAGUAUGUUUCCAAUUCAAAAAGUAACUUUAUAAUAGAGAAAGAUUGUUCAGAAAAACACUGCAACUUUUUCAAGAUGAUCAAAGCAACUUGUCUUCAAGAAAUCUUUCUGUUUACAAAAAGAUACAUUAUAUGAUGAGCUACCGCCCAAACCAUAGAUCGUCUAGUCAAGCUGUUUCGUCCAAUCAAAGUGUUCCCAUUGGCGUGCAAAGCUCACAACCGCUUUCUUCUGGCUCUCCACCGACUCAUGCCUUCUUUUUCUAUACAUGUCUUCUUCCGGCAACUCAAGCAUCCCUCUGAUCACAUUCAGUCCAAGAUUGCUAUUGAACUCUUGCUCAUCAUCAAUCACGUGAGCGAACCCUUUGUCUAUCCCAAACUCCACGUGGAAGUAAGGAAAAUUCUUAGGUAUCGAGUUCCUAAGACCUUUCACGCUAGUGUCGAUGAGCUUCUUCGCGUUGUGCUGACUCCACUCGCUCUCCGCUUCAUCGAUCGCCUUCUUGAAGUAAAGAGGUCCUUCUUUCGCUAUCUCCUGAGGGAUCGGGAU